AGGGCACCACCAGGAGUGGAGCCUGCGGCUUAAUUUGACUCAACACGGGAAAACUUACCCGGCCCGGACACUGGAAGGAUUGACAGACUGAGAGCUCUUUCUUGAUUCAGUGGGUGGUGGUGCAUGGCCGUUCUUAGUUGGUGGAGCGAUUUGUCUGGUUAAUUCCGAUAACGAACGAGACUCUAGCCUACUAAAUAGACCAGUGGCUUGCUUAACGCUGCUGGGACUUCUUAGAGGGACAGGCGGUGAUUCAACCGCACGAAACAGAGUAAUAACAGGUCUGUGAUGCCCUUAGAUGUCCGGGGCCGCACGCGCGCUACACUGAAGUGAUCAGCGUGCUUUUCAAACCCUGCUCUGCCAAGAGUGGGAAACCCAAUGAACCUACUUCGUGAUUGGGAUAAAGGAUUGUAAUUAUUCCUUUUGAACGAGGAAUUCCCAGUAAGCGCGAGUCAUAAGCUCGCGUUGAUUACGUCCCUGCCCUUUGUACACACCGCCCGUCGCUACUACCGAUUGAAUGAU
RNAcentral lists this ribosomal RNA (519 nucleotides) under uncultured eukaryote. Its description in RNAcentral is "SSU rRNA". It matches the Rfam family "Eukaryotic small subunit ribosomal RNA", at positions 1161 to 1697 of the family's 1831-position model. The record is from RNAcentral.